RNAcentral lists this ribosomal RNA (950 nucleotides) under uncultured archaeon. Its description in RNAcentral is "bacterial SSU rRNA". It matches the Rfam family "Archaeal small subunit ribosomal RNA", at positions 127 to 1075 of the family's 1478-position model. The record is from RNAcentral.
UAACCCCGGGAAACUGGCGAUAAUUCCGGAUACCGCAUAUAUGCUGGAAUGCUUUAUGCGUGAAAUGGAUUCGUCUGCCCAAGGAUGGGUCUGCGGCCUAUCAGGUAGUAGUGGGUGUAAUGUACCUACUAGCCUACGACGGGUACGGGUUGUGAGAGCAAGAGCCCGGAGAUGGAUUCUGAGACAUGAAUCCAGGCCCUACGGCCCGCAGCAGGCGCGAAAACUUUACAAUGCGGGUUUCCGUGAUAAGGGGACACCGAGUGCCAGCAACAUUUGUUGGCUGUCCAGGUGUGUAAACUACACCUGUUAGCAAGGGCCGGGCAAGACCGGUGCCAGCCGCCGCGGUAACACCGGCGGCCCGAGUGGUGAUCGUGAUUAUUGGGUCUAAAGGGUCCGUAGCCGGUUUGGUCAGUCCUCCGGGAAAUCUGACGGCUUAACCGUUAGGCUUUCGGGGGAUACUGCCAGGCUUGGAACCGGGAGAGGUAAGAGGUACUACAGGGGUAGGAGUGAAAUCUUGUAAUCCCUGUGGGACCACCUGUGGCGAAGGCGUCUUACCAGAACGGGUUCGACGGUGAGGGACGAAAGCUGGGGCCACGAACCGGAUUAGAUACCCGGGUAGUCCCAGCCGUAAACGAUGCUCGCUAGGUGUCAGGCAUGGCGCGACCGUGUCUGGUGCCGCAGGGAAGCCGUGAAGCGAGCCACCUGGGAAGUACGGCCGCAAGGCUGAAACUUAAAGGAAUUGGCGGGGGAGCACAACAACGGGUGGAGCCUGCGGUUUAAUUGGACUCAACGCCGGACAACUCACCGGCCCCGACAGCAAUAUGUAGGCCAAGCUGAAGACUUUGCCUGAAUCGCUGAGAGGAGGUGCAUGGCCGUCGCCAGUUCGUACUGUGAAGCAUCCUGUUAAGUCAGGCAACGAGCGAGACCCGUGCCCACUGUUACCAGCAUGG